This 1066-nucleotide long non-coding RNA is filed under the name Equus caballus (horse). RNAcentral's name for it is "lncRNA (ENSECAG00000051261.1)". Lineage: Eukaryota; Metazoa; Chordata; Mammalia; Perissodactyla; Equidae. The record is from RNAcentral.
UUCUCUCUGCUUUUGCUUAAGCCUUAAAAAAAAUUUUCAGGGGGUCAGCCCUGUGGCCGAGUGGUUAAGUUCGCGUGCUCCACUUUGGCAACCCAGAGUUUGCCGGUUUAGAUCCCAGGUGCUGAACUACACAACACUCAUCAAGCCAAGGUCCUAAAAAAGUGAAGAGCCUGAUAGAAGGGAGCUACUAAAGGUGAAGAAUCAAACAAGGAAAGCCAACUAUGGAAGUCAAAGAUAAGAUCACAAACAAUGAAUUGGUAAUAUGGUCUGAAGUGGACCCUAGAUGACUGAAUCAUAAAAGGAAUCUUGGUAUGGUGUGCAAGAUUAUGGAACAUUAUGAGCCUGAAAAAGGAGACUUUAAAGAGGGGCGUAUUGAUGCUCAUCAGAAAAACCCUCUUCUGAAUUCUGAAGUGGACUAGAAUCAACAAGUGGAUACUCUAAUCUACUUCCCGGAAGAGUCUUCUUGGGUGCCUGAGAUGCGUGGUCAUGAGGGAUUACCAGAGACUUAAGACCACUAUGGGCCAUUAUCAGACUGACAUGAAGCCUGAAAAUGGAUUUCGUUGGCUCCAGGAAGGUAUUGAUGGUUCCUGACUGGAAAAGAGGGGUGGACUUGUGUAUUUGUUCCUUGAGGGGCCCAAAGUUGAUUCGCGAGACUGGAAAUCAGAUACUAAAACUUGUACAAAUAUAGAUGUUAAGGUCAUUUUGAAUAACAAAUCCAGACUGGAUGGUGAAGAUUAAGCACAUGGCACAAAUCCUGAAAGAGAAAGGAUCAGGCUGUUAGGAAAGCUAAGAGCACACAGCAGAGAAGGUGAGUAUAAUAAUGUCUUGGAGGGGCUGGCCCCGUGGCCGAGUGGUUAAGUUCGCCCGCUCCGCUGCAGGCGGCCCAGUGUUUCGUUGGUUCGAAUCCUGGGCGCAGACAUGGCACUGCUCAUCAAACCAUGCUGAGGAGGCGUCCCACAUGCCACAACUAGAAGGACCCACAACGAAGAAUAUACAACUAUGUACUGGGGGUCUUUGGGGAGAAAAAGGAAAAAAUAAAAUCUUUAAAAAAAAAUAAUGUCUUGGA